CUGGCUCAGGAUAAACGCUGGCGGCGUGCCUAAUACAUGCAAGUCGAUCGCUGGAAUUCCAGCUUGCUGGAAUGAAGGAGAGGCGAACGGGUGAGUAAUACAUAAGCAACCUGCCCACGAAGACUGGGAUAAUUCCUGGAAACGGGGACUAAUACCGGAUAGGUAGUGUGAUCGCAUGAUCGCACUAUUAAAGGUUCAAGACACUGGUGGAUGGGCUUAUGGCGCAUUAGCUGGUUGGUGAGGUAACGGCCCACCAAGGCGAUGAUGCGUAGCCGGCCUGAGAGGGUGAACGGCCACAUUGGGACUGAGACACGGCCCAGACUCCUACGGGAGGCAGCAGUAGGGAAUUUUCGGCAAUGGGCGCAAGCCUGACCGAGCAACGCCGCGUGAGUGAAGACGGCCUUCGGGUUGUAAAGCUCUGUUGUAAGGGAAGAAUUGGCAUGAGAGAAUCAUGCAGUGACGGUACCUUACCAGAAAGCCACGGCUAACUACGUGCCAGCCGCCGC
RNAcentral lists this ribosomal RNA (506 nucleotides) under uncultured bacterium. Its description in RNAcentral is "bacterial SSU rRNA". It matches the Rfam family "Bacterial small subunit ribosomal RNA", at positions 19 to 518 of the family's 1533-position model. The record is from RNAcentral.